CAGCAGUGGGGAAUAUUGCACAAUGGGCGCAAGCCUGAUGCAGCCAUGCCGCGUGUAUGAAGAAGGCCUUCGGGUUGUAAAGUACUUUCAGCAGUGAGGAAGGUGGGUAUGUUAAUAGCAUAUUCAUUUGACGUUAGCUGCAGAAGAAGCACCGGCUAACUCCGUGCCAGCAGCCGCGGUAAUACGGAGGGUGCGAGCGUUAAUCGGAAUUACUGGGCGUAAAAGCGCAUGCAGGUGGUUUGUUAAGUCAGAUGUGAAAGCCCGGGGCUCAACCUCGGAAUUGCAUUUGAAAACUGGCAAACUAGAGUACUGUAGAGGGGGUAGAAUUUCAGGUGUAGCGGUGAAAUGCGUAGAGAUCUGAAGGAAUACCGGUGGCGAAGGCGGCCCCCUGGACAGAUACUGACACUCAGAUGCGAAAGCGUGGGGAGCAAACAGGAUUAGAUACCCUGGUAG
RNAcentral lists this ribosomal RNA (453 nucleotides) under uncultured bacterium. RNAcentral describes it as "bacterial SSU rRNA". It matches the Rfam family "Bacterial small subunit ribosomal RNA", at positions 349 to 793 of the family's 1533-position model. The record is from RNAcentral.